Molecule: long non-coding RNA, 576 nt
Organism: Erinaceus europaeus (western European hedgehog)
Lineage: Eukaryota; Metazoa; Chordata; Mammalia; Eulipotyphla; Erinaceidae
Exons: 3
Source: RefSeq, a predicted model, not a curated record
GGGUCAGAUAGAAGAAAAGCAGAAACAAGCCGAGAAAGGCAAGCGAAGCCCACCCGCGCCCAGCCCGCGAUAGGCACGGGACUGUGAGCAGCCAAUCAGCGGGCGGGAAGGAACGUGACGUCACGGCUCGGCUCAGUCCGUGGGCCGGAGUACACGAAGUUCCGCGUCUUUCAUUCGAGGUCUGGCAAUAGCCCCGGUCUCACUCCUGAUUUUGGUGUUUGUCACCAAGAAAGAGAACCAGAGCACCACUCUGAUAUAUUUGAUGCUGGAGAACAAACUUGGGACUGCCUGCUUGAGAACCCAACACUUUAUUCCCUGAGCUGCCUUUUCCUGGGGCACCAAGUCUCUGGUUCAGUGUUUCGACUUCUGUUUUAGUGGACAUACAGGGAGAAAGGAUUUCAACCUGGGUCUGUGGGGAUGAAAUUCCUGGCUCCCCGUGAUGUGAUCUCCUGUGAAGGUGUUGGGAUGCUACAUUUCAGUCUCAGGAGGGAGGCAGUAUGGACUUCCCUGGGUGAAGGUGGCCAUCUUUCCCCUGCGAUUUGGCUGCAAUAAUAAGGUGAGUUUUCUGUCUUGCUA